RNAcentral lists this ribosomal RNA (974 nucleotides) under Staphylococcus chromogenes. RNAcentral's name for it is "bacterial SSU rRNA". It matches the Rfam family "Bacterial small subunit ribosomal RNA", at positions 98 to 1056 of the family's 1533-position model. The record is from RNAcentral. Lineage: Bacteria; Bacillati; Bacillota; Bacilli; Caryophanales; Staphylococcaceae.
GCGGACGGGUGAGUAACACGUGGGUAACCUACCUAUAAGACUGGAAUAACUCCGGGAAACCGGGGCUAAUGCCGGAUAACAUAUCGAACCGCAUGGUUCGAUAGUGAAAGACGGUCUUGCUGUCACUUAUAGAUGGACCCGCGCCGUAUUAGCUAGUUGGUGAGGUAACGGCUCACCAAGGCGACGAUACGUAGCCGACCUGAGAGGGUGAUCGGCCACACUGGAACUGAGACACGGUCCAGACUCCUACGGGAGGCAGCAGUAGGGAAUCUUCCGCAAUGGGCGAAAGCCUGACGGAGCAACGCCGCGUGAGUGAUGAAGGUCUUCGGAUCGUAAAGCUCUGUUGUUAGGGAAGAACAAAUGUGUAAGUAACUGUGCACAUCUUGACGGUACCUAACCAGAAAGCCACGGCUAACUACGUGCCAGCAGCCGCGGUAAUACGUAGGUGGCAAGCGUUAUCCGGAAUUAUUGGGCGUAAAGCGCGCGUAGGCGGUUUUUUAAGUCUGAUGUGAAAGCCCACGGCUCAACCGUGGAGGGUCAUUGGAAACUGGAAAACUUGAGUGCAGAAGAGGAAAGUGGAAUUCCAUGUGUAGCGGUGAAAUGCGCAGAGAUAUGGAGGAACACCAGUGGCGAAGGCGGCUUUCUGGUCUGUAACUGACGCUGAUGUGCGAAAGCGUGGGGAUCAAACAGGAUUAGAUACCCUGGUAGUCCACGCCGUAAACGAUGAGUGCUAAGUGUUAGGGGGUUUCCGCCCCUUAGUGCUGCAGCUAACGCAUUAAGCACUCCGCCUGGGGAGUACGGUCGCAAGACUGAAACUCAAAGGAAUUGACGGGGACCCGCACAAGCGGUGGAGCAUGUGGUUUAAUUCGAAGCAACGCGAAGAACCUUACCAAAUCUUGACAUCUUUUGACCGCUCUAGAGAUAGAGUUUUCCUCUUCGGAGGACAAAAUGACAGGUGGUGCAUGGUUGUCGUC